RNAcentral lists this long non-coding RNA (483 nucleotides) under Dermacentor andersoni. RNAcentral describes it as "uncharacterized LOC126531667". Lineage: Eukaryota; Metazoa; Arthropoda; Arachnida; Ixodida; Ixodidae. The record is from RNAcentral.
CCUAAGGAUGAUUUCGGUCUUUGCAUUGUGCAGAAUGCCAGCGCACAGUUCAUACCACAGAAGAGACAGGUGUAAGUGCAACAGCCGGGCAGCGGGCAGACGGACAGUCAUAAGGUGGCAACGACGGGUGUCCUCCCUCCUCCAUCUCAUCGGUGGAAGAGAGUGUGACAGAUCGGAACACGCUGCCGCCCGAGGCAAGAGGGUCUCAGGUGGGCAACGGACCGAAGAAGCCAGCAGCUGCUGGUUGUGGCAGGUCGCCCCAGUGCUGGAAGCGUAGCGUACUGGGUCGCCGCCGGUGGGUGACCGUCGUCAUGGUGACGGGUGCGGAAGUGACGCAGCGGAGCACCGCGAGUGCGGCCUUGGCCGCGUGGCCUGCCACGGCACGGGCCGGCGCCGAUAGCUGCCGCCUAAGCGAGAGGGUGUGCCCGGGUUCCCGAAUCCGGCCUCAUCGCCAAAUUAAAAGGCUGCCGCUAUCAUAAACAA